This 505-nucleotide ribosomal RNA is filed under the name uncultured bacterium. RNAcentral's name for it is "partial 16S ribosomal RNA". It matches the Rfam family "Bacterial small subunit ribosomal RNA", at positions 28 to 507 of the family's 1533-position model. The record is from RNAcentral.
GACGAACGCUGGCGGCGUGCCUAAUACAUGCAAGUCGAACGCACAGUUUAUACCGUAGCUUGCUGCACCAUAAACUGUGAGUUGCGAACGGGUGAGUAACGCGUAGGUAACCUGCCUGGUAGCGGGGGAUAACUAUUGGAAACGAUAGCUAAUACCGCAUAAUAUUAAUUAUUGCAUGAUAAUUGAUUGAAAGAUGCAAUUGCAUCACUACCAGAUGGACCUGCGUUGUAUUAGCUAGUAGGUGAGGUAACGGCUCACCUAGGCGACGAUACAUAGCCGACCUGAGAGGGUGAUCGGCCACACUGGGACUGAGACACGGCCCAGACUCCUACGGGAGGCAGCAGUAGGGAAUCUUCGGCAAUGGACGAAAGUCUGACCGAGCAACGCCGCGUGAGUGAAGAAGGUUUUCGGAUCGUAAAGCUCUGUUGUAAGAGAAGAACGGGUGUGAGAGUGGAAAGUUCACACUGUGACGGUAUCUUACCAGAAAGGGACGGCUAACUACGUG